AACGAUACUUUCGUACUAGAGUGCCCACACGAGUAAUCAAAUAUUUAAAAGAAGAUCUUUAUAAGUUUUGGUAUGUAAUUUUCUAGUGUUUAUAUCAUUAUGAUAUUUACACCAGUGUCAUAUCUUUUAGAUAUGUACACGUAGAUCACUGCAUUUAAUAGAAGAAAAUUUUAUUAAGUUAUUCUCAAACAAUAACAAAAAUACUUAGUUCGCUUAAAAGGAGAACUAAGUAUAUUGCCCUUUUUU
This 246-nucleotide unclassified non-coding RNA is filed under the name uncultured bacterium. RNAcentral's name for it is "16S-23S ribosomal RNA intergenic spacer". The record is from RNAcentral.